Molecule: ribosomal RNA, 490 nt
Filed under: uncultured bacterium
Lineage: Bacteria
Description: partial 16S ribosomal RNA
Rfam family: Bacterial small subunit ribosomal RNA
Source: RNAcentral
AUUGAACGCUGGCGGCAGGCCUAACACAUGCAAGUCGAACGGUAACAGGAAGACGCUUGCUUCUUUGCUGACGAGUGGCGGACGGGUGAGUAAUGUCUGGGAAACUGCCUGAUGGAGGGGGAUAACUACUGGAAACGGUAGCUAAUACCGCAUAACGUCGCAAGACCAAAGAGGGGGACCUUCGGGCCUCCUGCCAUCGGAUGUGCCCAGAUGGGAUUAGCUAGUAGGUGGGGUAACGGCUCACCUAGGCGACGAUCCCUAGCUGGUCUGAGAGGAUGACCAGCCACACUGGAACUGAGACACGGUCCAGACUCCUACGGGAGGCAGCAGUGGGGAAUAUUGCACAAUGGGCGCAAGCCUGAUGCAGCCAUGCCGCGUGUAUGAAGAAGGCCUUCGGGUUGUAAAGUACUUUCAGCGGGGAGGAAGGGAGUAAAGUUAAUACCUUUGCUCAUUGACGUUACCCGCAGAAGAAGCACCGGCUAACUCCGUG